RNAcentral lists this long non-coding RNA (2676 nucleotides) under Pan troglodytes (chimpanzee). Its description in RNAcentral is "long non-coding RNA NONPTRT005315". The stretch from base 2424 to 2540 matches the Rfam family "Metazoan signal recognition particle RNA". Lineage: Eukaryota; Metazoa; Chordata; Mammalia; Primates; Hominidae. The record is from RNAcentral.
UGCCAACAUACUUUGUGUUGGAGUCAGUCAACUCCAGUGUCCCAUCCUCACAGCACUUCCAGACCACACAUGAGGCAUUUAUGGCAGCAAAAAGGUCUGACACUGCUGGGGUCAGCCCCAGCGUCCCCUCCUUGACUGCUCUGACCGGCACCAGAUCACAGGACUCCAGGACUGAGGGAGAGAAAGGCUGGCCUGGACUCUCACCAUCUUUUCAGAGGGGACUUCAGCGGCAAAGAGGGAAUGGUGAACACAUGACUCCUCUGAGAGGAUUUUUAGGGACAAGGAAAAGCACCGAGUUACCAUCAUGGUCUGCAUAUUCUUAUGAAUAAUUUAGAAGUAUAAAAGAAGUCCCUUCGAUCACUGCAGCAGCAAGCACUGGGUAAGAUGGGCCCUACCCACUCCUUCCCAUGGGCCUAAGCUCCAGGAUGGGACUGGGUGUGGGGAGGGAAAAGAGGCUUAGUCUUCUGCGGGCUUGCAUCCUGAGGGAUCACACAUUUCUUUGCUUUUCUCCCUGCUGUGGAUGCUAUUGCCUGUCUUUUUGUCCUCCUCGGACCCUUCUGUAGGAACUGUCCCCACACCCUGGGAGGAGGGGGCCAUUUGUGAUUUGGGGGUUUCUGAGGCCAUGGUGGUGGGGCAGGUCUCUCAGAGGGCUCUUGUCUCACCCCUGCCCCAUUCUGGUUCCCCAGCCUCUCGCUUACCAAGGCACCCAACACACGGGCCACGUGCACCGGCUGGCUCCACUUCUCUACCUGCUUGUCCUCGCUCAGCAAGCGCAGGCUGAGGUCAAUGACAUCCCCCUCGAACUGUUAAGGAUCACACAGGGCCAUGAUGAAGGGUCCCCAGGUCAGGCACUCAUCCUGCAGGACAGCCUCAUCAUCUCGUCCUUCUCCCAGACCCGCACUCCACACCUGCCUCCCUUGCCUCGUCCCUCUGAGGAGCUCUGGCUCCCUCCCCCCACCUCUCAAUGGGACCUGGGUUCCUUUUCCCAGGCAUCCAGUCCUUUGCCUAGCUGUUUUCUGACUCCCAGUAGGGUGUGAGCUCUCAGGGACCCAUGCUGUACUGUUUCGUUUCAUUGCAUUGCAUUCCAUUUCCAUUUAGUGAACCCUGACUGCUCCUACCAGCCCUGAACCGGGAGUGGAGGAUACCGAGGCAGCUCCUGUUCCUGAGGAGCCCACGGUUUAGGACUGGAGAUGGACACGCAGUGCAGCCCCUUAGAUUACAGAGCACAGCAGCAUGGCCAGGGCUCUUGUAGAGAUGCUGGCACAGAGCAGCACAGUGGAGAGGCUCCCCCUGCCUUCGGGGAUUGGGGAAGGCUUUGAGAAGGUCUUGAGAGAUGGGUAGGAGCUUGCCAGGAGAUAAGAGUGGGAAGCCCUUCCUGGCAGAGGGAACGUUCAGCCUGUUGCUCUGAGGAUGGUGAGGAGUUGGAACAUGGGGCGGUUCAUGGGGAAAGGAAAGCAGGGUCCUGGCUGGAAGGGCCGUGGAUGUUAGGCUAGGGGGAUUUGGUCUUUAUCUCAAAGACAGUGGGGAUGUAACUGGGGCUUGAUUUGCCACAGUUUUAAGGAAAAUAAUUCUGGGAGCUCCUGGAGGAUGUUCUGAUAUGGCCCAGAGGAAGGAGAGGCAUCACAAAGCUGAAAUGGGCUAAAGAAAUGGUCUCAUGACCAGGGGUUUUUGAACCUACCAGCUCUGUCUAGCCUGAACAUGCAAGGUUAUGGGACAGUCACUCUACACACUCCUCCCCUAGAGGGCCCUGGUACCUGGCCAAAGUCCCAGGACUCUGCCUGGAUGCAGUCAGCUGUACCCAGGUAGAUGAGACCAUUCUGGUUCAACAAGUACUCCAUGCGCUGAGCCUCAUUCUUCAGGAACACAGCAUCCUCUGGUGAGAGGUGGGUAGGGAUGAGGGCCUGUGGGGGUCCUAGGUCCACCCUCCACAUCCAGGCCUCUGUCCUCCCUGCCGAGAUUAGGUUUGGCUGCAGGCCACCCCGUCAGCUCUGGGCCUAAUGAAGACUGAGGAGGAAGUCCCUCUUUCACUGCCCCCACUGGGACCCAGCCCAGAGUCCCUGGGUCAAUCAGGGUGUGGCCUUUAUGGUCAGCCAGGAAGACAAGAACAACCUUAAAAAGCUUGGCUGGCCAGGUGCAGUGGCUCACGCCUAUAAUCCCAGCACUUUGGGAGGCCAAAGCAGGACAGUUUGAGGCCAGGAGUUCGAGACCAGCCUGGGCAACACAGCAAGACUCCGUCUCUACAAAAAAUAAAAAAAAACAGCCAGGUGUGGUGGUGCGCACUUGUAGUCCUAGCUAUUCAGGAGGCUGAAGCGGGAGGAAACUUGAGCCCAGGAGUUUGAGGUUGCAAUGAGCUAUGAUGGUGCCACUGCACUCCAGCCUGGGUGACAGAGUGAGAGAUUUUCUCUUAAAAAAAAUGAAAACCAGCCAGGCGUGGUGGCUCACGCCUGUAAUCCCAGCACUUUGGGAGGCUGAGGCGGGUGGAUCACCUGAGGUCAGGAGAUCAAGACCAGCCUGACCAACAUGGUGAAACCCUGUCUCUACUAAAAAUACAAAAAAUUAGGUAGGUGUGGUGGCACUUGCUUGUAAUUCCAGCUACUUGGGAGGCUAAGGCAGGAGAAUCUCUUGAAUCCAGGAGGCAGAGGCUGCAGUGAGCUGAGAUCAUGCCAUCGCACUCCA